RNAcentral lists this transfer RNA (72 nucleotides) under Leguminivora glycinivorella. RNAcentral describes it as "tRNA-Met". It matches the Rfam family "tRNA". Rfam says of the family: Transfer RNA (tRNA) molecules are approximately 80 nucleotides in length. Their secondary structure includes four short double-helical elements and three loops (D, anti-codon, and T loops). The record is from RNAcentral. Lineage: Eukaryota; Metazoa; Arthropoda; Insecta; Lepidoptera; Tortricidae.
GGGCGAGUGGUCUAGUGGUAAGGACGUUAGCCGCAUAAGCUGAAGAUCCGGGUUCGAUUCCCGGCUCAGCCA